GCUAACGCUGGCGGCGUGUCUUAGCCAUGCAAGUCGAGCGGACUUAUGGGGUAACUUAUAAGUCAGCGGCGGACGGCGGAGUAACACGUAGCUAACCUACCCUCUGGACGGGGAUAACCUACCGAAAGGUGGGCUAAUACCCGAUGUAGUCAUCCUGUAUAGGGGUGAUGAAAGGUGGGCUUCUGUUUACAAGCUCAUGCUGGAGGAGGGGGCUGCGGCCUAUCAGGUAGUUGGUAGGGUAAUAGCCUACCAAGCCGACGAUCUGUAGCUGGUCUGAGAGGACGACCAGCCACACUGGGACUGAGACACGGCCCAGACUCCUACGGGAGGCAGCAGUGGGGAAUUUUGGACAAUGGGCGCAAGCCUGAUCCAGCCAUGCCGCGUGCAGGAUGAAGGCCUUCGGGUUGUAAACUGCUUUUGUACGGAACGAAAAAGCUCUCUCUAAUACAGGGGGUGAAUGACGGUACCGUAAGAAUAAGCACCGGCUAACUACGUG
Molecule: ribosomal RNA, 496 nt
Filed under: uncultured bacterium
Lineage: Bacteria
Description: bacterial SSU rRNA
Rfam family: Bacterial small subunit ribosomal RNA
Source: RNAcentral